This 76-nucleotide transfer RNA is filed under the name Candidatus Azambacteria bacterium RIFCSPHIGHO2_01_FULL_40_24. Its description in RNAcentral is "tRNA-Glu". It matches the Rfam family "tRNA". From Rfam's summary of the family: Transfer RNA (tRNA) molecules are approximately 80 nucleotides in length. Their secondary structure includes four short double-helical elements and three loops (D, anti-codon, and T loops). The record is from RNAcentral. Lineage: Bacteria; Candidatus Azamiibacteriota.
GCCGCUAUCGUCUAAUGGCUUAGGACGUCGCGUUCUCAACGCGGCAAUCGGGGUUCGAUUCCCCGUAGCGGUACAA